This 805-nucleotide ribosomal RNA is filed under the name uncultured organism. RNAcentral's name for it is "SSU rRNA". It matches the Rfam family "Bacterial small subunit ribosomal RNA", at positions 28 to 803 of the family's 1533-position model. The record is from RNAcentral.
GACGAACGCUGGCGGCGUGCUUAACACAUGCAAGUCGAACGAAGAGCGAUGGAAGCUUGCUUCUAUCAAUCUUAGUGGCGAACGGGUGAGUAACGCGUAAUCAACCUGCCCUUCAGAGGGGGACAACAGUUGGAAACGACUGCUAAUACCGCAUACGAUCUAACCUCGGCAUCGAGGAUAGAUGAAAGGUGGCCUCUAUUUAUAAGCUAUCACUGAAGGAGGGGAUUGCGUCUGAUUAGCUAGUUGGAGGGGUAACGGCCCACCAAGGCGAUGAUCAGUAGCCGGUCUGAGAGGAUGAGCGGCCACAUUGGGACUGAGACACGGCCCAGACUCCUACGGGAGGCAGCAGUGGGGAAUCUUCCGCAAUGGACGAAAGUCUGACGGAGCAACGCCGCGUGAGUGAUGACGGCCUUCGGGUUGUAAAGCUCUGUUAAUCGGGACGAAAGGCCUUCUUGCGAAUAGUUAGAAGGAUUGACGGUACCGGAAUAGAAAGCCACGGCUAACUACGUGCCAGCAGCCGCGGUAAUACGUAGGUGGCAAGCGUUGUCCGGAAUUAUUGGGCGUAAAGCGCGCGCAGGCGGAUUGGUCAGUCUGUCUUAAAAGUUCGGGGCUUAACCCCGUGAUGGGAUGGAAACUGCCAAUCUAGAGUAUCGGAGAGGAAAGUGGAAUUCCUAGUGUAGCGGUGAAAUGCGUAGAUAUUAGGAAGAACACCAGUGGCGAAGGCGACUUUCUGGACGAAAACUGACGCUGAGGCGCGAAAGCCAGGGGAGCGAACGGGAUUAGAUACCCCGGUAGUCCUGGCCGU